GGAGGGGGAGGGGGACGAUAGUCAAGGGGGAAAAAGAGAAGAGAGAGAAAACGGAUCUGUGGAAUUAAAGAAAAAGAGCUUAGUCGCAGACCUCACCUGGGACUUCUUCUCCAAGCUUUCUUCCUCAAAAUCUCUUUCAAUCAUUUUGAACCAUGAAAAGAACAGCCAUGUAAAACCACUCCCGUCAACUCAAUGCUUUGUCGUCGCCUCGCCGGAUUUCCACCAUCGUCGGCUAACACUUUUCCGCAGUGAAAAUCAACUCCUUUACCCCCAAAAUCGACCACCAUAAACACCCAAGAACAGCCACUAAACCACCUAAAAACGUCAUCCAAAAAUGCUGUCAAAACUAGCCCCCUUUUUGUCCAUAACGACCCCAAAACAGCUUCCGAAUCAGCCCCAAAGAAGCUUGAAAUUGAGCUGAAAAACAACCCUCUUUCCUCACAAAACAACAAUAUUUUUGGUCGAGUUCGAGUCGAAUUUUUCGACGAGCAUUACUCGGUGAGUUUCGAGGUUCCGGCGGGGUCGCAUUCAGAUCCGGUUGUCAUUCAAUUUGUUCUGGCCAAAAUUGUGAUUCUGGGUUUGCCUCAUUAAUACAAAGGUUCAUCUCCCUUUUUAAUUUUGUUCUUCUUUCUAAUGUUCUGGAUCAUUUUUGUAUUGAUUUAAUUUGUGUGAUAUGGAUAGACUUUUAUUUUUUUAGUUUUCUGUGUUUGAACAAUACGCUUUUGAGUAUGUUUCCUCUUAGUUCAUUCCUUUAAUUUUCUUAGCAAAUCAUAUGGUUAAUCUCAUUAAUAACCCAAUUUUUUCUUAUCUAUUUUGAGUAGUUUCCUUAGUAAGCAAUUUGUCUUGCGAAGUGAUGAUAUAGGAGAUUUUAAGUUACAAGAGUUUUCUUCAAUGAACUAAUGAGCUCUCCAGUUCAUUUUGCCUUGGUUCCAAUUUAAUCCUUUAUCUUAGUGACUAAUUUGUAAAGCUGAAAAUUAAAAGUUAGAAGGAAUGUUAGCUUUGUUGAAGCUUAUCACUGUAAUUGGUCCUUGAUUGUUAUUGCCUCGUAAGAGAAAUGGGCCAAACAUAAUUCCUACUAAUAGGCCCAAAAUGUGGAAUGGUUUCAAGAUAGAAUGUUAGUAAUGUAUUUAGUCGUAGAUAUCUUUAAUAGUUUAGCAAUACAAUUGAUCUUGUUAGUAAUUCAUAAAAUCUUUAUAGUUAUUAUCGUGAUUAUGUACACGUUCGCGUGACAUAAUUAUGAUUCCAAAAAAUAAAUUAAGGUACUCGUUUGUGCAACUUUGGUCAAAACAACCUUAAAUAUAAUAAAAUGUUAUUAAUUGCGUGAACAUACAUGUGUCAUGAUUUUGGCACAAUAAACAAAAUGGAUUUCACACACGUAAUUCGUUUCAAAGAUAAUUUUAUAUUUUAAUAUAAAAGCGGACAGAUAAAACAUGAAAACCAAUAAAUCACAGUUUAUCUAAAAUUAAUCCAAGCCAAGUUGUAGUCAAUAAAGCGACCGUGCUAGAACAACGGGACUCGGGGAAUGCCUUACACCUUCUCCCCGGUCAACAGAAUUCCUUCCCCGAAAUUUAUUUUUGCAGACCAAUAAUAAUAGAGUCAAACCUUUCUUUGACUAGGGAUUCAAAUAAAAGGUGACUUGGAACACCCAAAAAAUCAAUUCCAAGUGGCGACUCUAUAAAUAAAAUAAUCCAUAUUCAAAUUUGUCACUUUAAUUGGAAAAACUUUUUAACCCACAAUAAUUCAUAAAGCGAUAUAUUUUGUGGGGUAAAAAAGGGGUGUGACAAUCGGUUCACGUUAAAUACUCGAAUGACAGAGUGGCACGUGAAACUGGGAGCAGGCGGAAGAUGAAGCGAGUGGAGACUCAGACCUAGUUCAACAACUUCGGUUGGCCUCGGGUAAACCCCGAAGGGAACAUUAUCAACGGGGGAUAAAUAAAUAUUUUUCAACAAAGGACAUUCAAUGAAGAAUAUUCAUCAAUAUUAAAUACACAUCUGCUACAAAGAAUUUUUGCAUUCAUAACAUGCCGUUACGUAUUCAUGAAUGGCCCUCAUUAUCGUCAUUUAAGAGGGGCAUGAUCCUAGAACCUUGUUCCCUAGGUAUAACUAUAAAUAGUGGCUUCAACGACCAUUGUAAGGGGGGAAUUCUGAAAAACUUACGCUACACACUAUACCAAGCUAAAUAAUGCUUUGUUUUCUGUUUAACGAUAUUCUUAUUGUUGCCUUCAGAAGCCUUACUCCCGGAACCAAGCUAUCCGCUACUUUAUCUCGAUUAUAACGCUAAAUCUUGCAUUUAUUUAAUUUAUUUAUUAUUUUGGGAUCAAAUCGAUUGCCAUUCGCUUGUCUAUAACCACGCUAUAAAUUCAACUGUACCGAAUUACGGGUAUAUAGUUUGGCGCCCACCGUGGGGUUUAGACAGUUGCGUAAUUGAGUUGAUCCUUGCAUCUAUUACUAAUAUGUUUGAAUUUUUGUUAGCAAAAAUCAUAAAAAUAAAUGGCAGCUAACGAUGUCAACAUCGCACACGAUGUUCAGACACAAGAGAACAUGCCUCAAUGCGAGGAUUCGUUCAGUGCCACCCGCAACGAGGUGGAUGUAGUAACGCUGGUUCAUGGCGGGCAUCCCCGAUACAUACAGGAGCCGACUCAUGAUGAUGCUGAGGAUGAGCACGUUGCGAAAGCGGUGGGGAUCUUGAGAGAACAACAAAAGGCCAUCAUGGUCAUCUCUCACAGCAAGACCAAGCCAUUACAGAAUUGAGGCAAACGUUGAUGUCAUACCUCCUGUUCCGGGGAAAGAAGUUUUU
This 2796-nucleotide long non-coding RNA is filed under the name Nicotiana tabacum (common tobacco). RNAcentral's name for it is "long non-coding RNA (NTAB_LNC003943)". The record is from RNAcentral. Lineage: Eukaryota; Viridiplantae; Streptophyta; Magnoliopsida; Solanales; Solanaceae.